This is a long non-coding RNA of Cygnus atratus (black swan), 2004 nucleotides long. RefSeq lists it as uncharacterized. Lineage: Eukaryota; Metazoa; Chordata; Aves; Anseriformes; Anatidae. The record is from RefSeq and is a predicted model, not a curated record. The transcript has 4 exons.
AGGAAAUACAAAAGGACCCCAAAAGAAGCCAAAACUCAUCCUGAACAGAGAAGGGCGGCGAAGCUGGUGAGGGGUCUGGAGAACAAGUCUUACGAGGAGCGGCUGAGGGAGCUGGGAUUGUUCAGCCUGGAGCAGAGGAGGCUCAGGGGCGACCUUAUUGCACUCUACAGGAAACCUGCUCUCUGAAGAACUGCAAAGGAGGUAAACACAUGGCUUUCCUGGAAUAGCUUUGGGAUGCCAAAAGCAUGAAUGAAAUCAGUGAGAACUUCCUCCUAUGUGCGUUACACUGGAUUAAGCUUCAGGUAUGUUUCAGGAGGCCACUCCAAGAACGGGUGACUCACAAGCCUUGUACCAAACAGCCAUUGCCAUCAGUCACGGACAGCUUUUUUCUCAGCAAAACCCGGUAAAAGUAGUUUGAACUCCAUCUAUCAGUGACAGAAGAAGUGGACAACAAAGCAUAAAUUAAAACUAGGAAAACUAAAGAUACUUUCACAUUUUUAUUUUCCACCAAGAGUAACAGGGUAGUAAGAGUAAUAACACAUACUAGUUGUUAAUUGGCAAAACCACAGCAGCUCACUUGACUUCAGGAGGGAGCAGUAUGUUUCUCUUCUGGAACUUACAGGAACAUUUAGAAACCAAUGAAUGCAGAGAAAGAGAUCAGAAAAUCAAGUAGCACUCAGAGAAAGUGAGAAAAAUGCCAACUCCCUUCUCCUAGUUACUUUUCCAUACUUUUCUGCUUACGCUAUCAGCUCUUCAAGUAGAUAACUGUUUUUUUUCCAAGAUGAAAAUUUUGAUUGAAAACCGAGUGCCUGCAACACUCAGUGUACUUUUAACUGCAAAGAAUCAGAAGCAGGAGAAAUUUCAUAGAACCUAAUUUCAUAGGUUUGCUCUUACAUCUGGUACGUGAAACAGCACAGAUGCCAACUGCUAACAAUGCACUGUCCUGUUUGCCUAAGGUUAAGAGCAGAGCCCCCUGAGAACCAGAACUCAUGUUGAGGUUUGGAAGGCUGAUACUGGGAGAACAUGGCUAUUCCUUCACAGCUCCUCACCUUUGUGUACAGCCUCCACAAACUCUUUUUGAAGUUUGCCCAUACUUUUAUGAAGUACACUCCCUCUUCUUUCCUCUAGUUUUUCUUUUCCUGCAUCCCCGUGUUCUGUUUCUGGCUGGAACUGGCAGUGGAAUUGCUGAACAAACCGAUCCAAGUUGUUUUGAUCCAAGCCGAUCCAACUGUAUUGCUGACUCAAUCCUGAGAGCCUGUUCUCAUCAGAUUUCACUGCAGCAUUCCAGAUUUCAGUACCCAAAAAAUUCAGAUGCUUAUCUAAACCAAACUUCCUGAGGGUGAACUAUCCCCAGUGCUAAGACAGCAAGAGCAGGGCCGACACACACUUGAACGAGAUUCCAUCAGAGCACAGGAGACAGCAUGCCAACUACGCUUAAAGCAAUAUCUACCUACAUAACUUCAACUCAGUCUGACUUGGUAAAUUACUGAGUUAAUUGCCUUGGUAUUCAUAUUUACAUUCAAAAGAGGAUACACAGAUCUGAGGUCAAAUCAUUAAACUGUUCCAUUAAAAACUUUGUUUUAGGCAAAUGGACUUCAGAAAACUUCCUUUAUAAUGUAAAAUGGAACCAUCUGUACAUAAAUUUUGGGACUUAUUUUGAUGUUAGGUUUAUUGAUAUAAUUAUGUAGUUACUAAGCUGUUUACUGUUUCAGGCUCCUAAUAGCUAUUAGGGCUAUGGUUUGGAAGGAGAAAACAAAAAUUUUAAAUGUGUUUAUUUCCAUGUUUUAUACUUGCACGUAGCAUCUACUUCCUUCAAUGUGAAAAUUUAUGAAGAAGUUUUGUCUUGAUUUGCUUAGCUUUGCUGCUUGGACAGCCAUAUUGUAAUUAUCACAACAGUAUGAGACCUCACAGAACAUUUUACUUACUGUUUAAAGAAAAGUCCAAUGGAUAUCCCAAGAUAAAAUAUUUCUUCAUAUUUACUCUAUUCUUAAAGCAGUAAGAUGA